CUCUUCGAAUCUCCGACAUGACAGACGACAGAGUUUACCCAUCGUCGAAACCUCCCGGCGCAGCCACCGCCAACCCCACUUUCCCGGCGAACAAAGCUCAGCUCUACAGCGCUAACCGCCCAGCUUACCGUCAACCGGCCUCCCGCCGCCGCACGCAUAGCCGCGGAUGCUGCUGCCGCUGCUGCUGCUGGACGAUUUUCGUGAUCCUCCUCCUGAUCGCCGCCGCCGCCGCCGCGUCCGCCGUCGUGUACCUAAUCUACCGUCCUCAACGCCCGAGCUUCACCGUGUCUUCCCUCAAAGUCUCCUCUCUCAACUUCACCUCCGCCAACCACCUCGCCACCGCCAUCUCCCUCUCCGUCAUCGCCAAGAACCCCAACAAGAACGUCGGGUUCAACUACGACGUCACCGACAUCACGGUCUACAAAACCUCUCCCGGAGACGAUGACGUCGUCAUCGGUAAAGGCUCGAUCCCGUCGUUUGUCCACGGGAAGAAGAACACGACUCUGCUGAAAUCGACGAUCGGGAGUCCUCCCGGAGAUCUUGAUGAGCUGUCGGCGGGGAAGCUCAAGGGGGAGCUGAAGGCGAAGAAAGCGGUGGCGGUUAAGAUUGUUCUUGAUACGAAGGUGAAGGUGAAGAUGGGAUCUGUGAAAAGCCCUAAGUCGGGGAUUAGGGUUACUUGCGAAGGGAUUAAAGCGGCGGGUCCGUCGGGGAAGAAGGCGACGACGGCUGCUACCUCGGGCGCGAAGUGUAAGGUUGAUCUUAGGAUCAAGAUCUGGAAAUUUACUUUUUAACCGUUGGGGUAAAAAAGGAAAUGUAAUUCACGUUCGUAGUUUUUUUUCUCAUCUUUCCAUUGUUUCAAUUUUCGUUUUCUUCUUAAUUUGAUUUCAUAUACAGUUCUUCGAUUCCCGUAAGACUUUAUUUUUUGGUUUAUGUAAAUGAGAUAUAUAAUAUAUUUGUGUUCGGUCUGAGCUUCACUGUUUUCUAUUAUUUUGUGAAAAAUGUUUGAUUUGUUAAACAAAAGAAGUUUAAUCAGUUGAUUAUAGUUAUUGUUACUGUUCGAAUUUGAUUAAGAGAGGGUCAUCUAGGGCACAAAGAACAAAAGAAAAGCGAGAAGAAAACGCAGCAUGCUUAUUUAAUUAAUUAAUAUGGGGGUAAUAAUGCAAGUGAUGUGACGACUACUAUAACUUCUGCAAGUGCUAUGGACAGUUAAUCUCUUAAGUAGACAAUUAAGCCGAGCUACUCUUAGUUGUAACAAUUAAUUGAGCCUGCCAUGUGGUCCAUGUGUGUAUGAGAAUAUACUCAUAAACAUACCCAUAUUAAGAACCUAUCAACUAUUGCUUCACAACGAAUGUAUAUAAUUGGUGUCUAUUAUUAAUCUCCAGGUCUGUUGGGUGGUGUAUGUUUAUUAAUAAAAUGUGGGCACAAAGUAAGUGAUAAGGUCUAGAAGGUGUUGGUGAAUAUGUUCGAUUCAACUUUAACAAGCACAAGCAAAGCUACGAUGAAUCAUGAUUGAAAAGCAGGUCUUAUGUAAUUAUCAACAACAAAAAAGAGAUUAGGUGUUAUGGUGUAAAACGACGACUAACAUGUGAUGGAAUUUGUUCGUUUUCCACAAAAUAAUAUAUAAAAAAUAAAGCAGUUGCAAAAUCUUCUUAUAUCAACUCAGGAAACCAAUUUUUUUAUUUUGAGUUGGUUAGUUUAAUCAGUUAUGAACUUAUGAAUAUAAUAUCAGAGUGCGAAGGGAAUAGGUGCACAUAAAAGUGCUAGAAGAAUUUUACCUUAUGGACCAAUCACAAUGUUUUAGUAAAUAUUUUGGGUUUAAAGAAACUACAAACCAGUCUAAAAUUUCUAUUCACAAGAACUAAUUUAUUUUGGUGAAUAUCUCCACACAAAAAGAAGAGACUAUUUUAGUUGUAAAACUAUAAAAUCCAUGAUGGCAGCAACAAAAAAUAUUUAUUCUUUCAGUUUUCUACACAACUAUAUUUUCUUAUUCUUCCAUACAGGUAUUAAUGUAUUAUAUUGAGUUAAAUGUGCUAUUAUUUUAUAUUUAAAAAUACAAAAUAUAUAGUGUGAAUACAUUUAUGAUUAUAGUGUGAACGCGUUAGCAUAUUUAUUAUCAAAUCAUUGUGAGGUUGCCACGUGUCUAUUAUAGUGUGAAUGCAUUUAUUACAAUGCUUCUCCUUUAAUAUAUAAGGGAUAAGAAUGUCAAAUUAUUGUAGUCACUUGUGUCAUUACGUUAACGUUACAGGGCUUACCGUUCCGGUUGGAUUAGGGACAGGGCCGGCUCACUAUUACCGAAGGCUCUUGAGCAAAAAUUUUGUUAGAACCCUACAAUUGGCUAGUUUUGUAACUAAGAACUUUUUGACUCAAUCAUCACAACAAUACACAUUUCUAUUAGGUAUUUUAACUAGAUAAGUAGAAAUUUCAUGUUUUUAUGCUGUCUAACUCUGGAUCAAAUAUGCUAAUUUUAAGAAUUAAGACCCCUAAUAUUAUUACAGUUUAGACUAGGCUCCGGGGCGGUCGCACUGGCCGCCCCUGAUUAAAGAAACUACAAACAUUAGGAAACUCGGUUGGAUCAAGGAAACUACAAACACUAGGAAAUUGAGAUCAAACGGAAGUAAAAAGGUUAAGCCUCAAGAGGUACGCCAGUUUCUUAUACGUACGACAUGGAAGAGUAAACUCAGGGGCAACAAUGCCAAGAAACGGGUUAAUAAGUCUGAUCUGAUUUGUUAAUAACAAAUUGUUAUUUGAGUUAUGGAAGAAAGUAACCAAUGAACAUGGGCUUUCUCCCUUUUGUGUGUGUUACUACUUACUAGUGAAUGUAAAAAAGUAAGCGUAUACCGUUGACUAAUAACUUAAAUCCUCAAUAGUCAUAUGGUAAGUUGGCUUCAAUAUUAUUAUUACCUUCUUUUUUUUCUUAACUAGGCACAUUGUUCUGUAUAUAAUCUUGCUACAAAAUUUCAAACCAACAUAAGGCAUGCAAGUUUUCUUACAUUUCGUAAUAGUAAAGGAAGAGAUCAAUCAUAUGAUUCAUAUCACAUGCAUAUGCAAUGUUGCUCCAUGCUAAACGUAUGUGAUAGUGCGUGCGGAUAAUAUGCAAUAUUUUGUUUGUUUUUUUGAAACUAAAAAGGAUUCUUUUUCUCAUCACGUAUUUACAUAUAUGUACGUAUAUCCGAAAACCCCAUAUAAAAACUUCUUUUCACAUUGCUUAAAUAUAUGAAAUUGCUUGCUUUAAAUAAGAUCUAAAUGAGAAAGGGACUAAGCAUCAGUUCUUUUUUAAAUUUGGAAAGGAACUUUCAUAUAUCUUUGCUUCAAUACAAAGGCAAUUAUGUUUGGUGUACGAUUUCACGUUUCAACUCAAAAUUUUGUUUCUACAUUUUUAAAAAUAAACUCUUCUAUCUUUCGUCAUUUUGAAAAUGUAAAUAUGUGAUAUACUCUACUAAUUUAGCAAUAUAUUGCUGUAAAUAGACAUAUCACGAUUAAAACGGACCACAAAAUAUAUCUUCAAAAAAAAAAAAAACGGACCACAAAAUAUGUACGUAUUAAAUAAUGUCACCAAAAAUGCUUAGCAAAUAACAACUGGAACCCUCGUGACUUUUUUAGCACCGUCUACUUUUUUUUUUUGAACAACAUAGCACCGUUUACUUACUCCCGAAAAGCGUGACACGAACGCGCUCAUGCGACGCGCGUAAGCACCAUCUUCCCGCGUUGAGCUGUCACUCUCUUUGUCGGUCUCCGUCGCUUUUUUUCCAUCGCUUCCUCUCUCAUUCUCCACCACUUUCAUUAUUAAACUAAUCAGCCAUUAGAAGAAAAAAGCUUCACUGUAACUCUCCCACAACCAUUUAAAACGCCAUUACAUUUCAACCACUCUUUUCAUCUCUCUCUCUCUCUCUUCUCUUCGAAUCUCCGACAUGACAGACGACAGAGUUUACCCAUCGUCGAAACCUCCCGGCGCAGCCACCGCCAACCCCACUUUCCCGGCGAACAAAGCUCAGCUCUACAGCGCUAACCGCCCAGCUUACCGUCAACCGGCCUCCCGCCGCCGCACGCAUAGCCGCGGAUGCUGCUGCCGCUGCUGCUGCUGGACGAUUUUCGUGAUCCUCCUCCUGAUCGCCGCCGCCGCCGCCGCGUCCGCCGUCGUGUACCUAAUCUACCGUCCUCAACGCCCGAGCUUCACCGUGUCUUCCCUCAAAGUCUCCUCUCUCAACUUCACCUCCGCCAACCACCUCGCCACCGCCAUCUCCCUCUCCGUCAUCGCCAAGAACCCCAACAAGAACGUCGGGUUCAACUACGACGUCACCGACAUCACGGUCUACAAAACCUCUCCCGGAGACGAUGACGUCGUCAUCGGUAAAGGCUCGAUCCCGUCGUUUGUCCACGGGAAGAAGAACACGACUCUGCUGAAAUCGACGAUCGGGAGUCCUCCCGGAGAUCUUGAUGAGCUGUCGGCGGGGAAGCUCAAGGGGGAG
Molecule: long non-coding RNA, 4466 nt
Filed under: Brassica napus (rape)
Lineage: Eukaryota; Viridiplantae; Streptophyta; Magnoliopsida; Brassicales; Brassicaceae
Description: long non-coding RNA (BNAP_LNC004979)
Source: RNAcentral